This 1048-nucleotide ribosomal RNA is filed under the name uncultured organism. Its description in RNAcentral is "bacterial SSU rRNA". It matches the Rfam family "Bacterial small subunit ribosomal RNA", at positions 90 to 1170 of the family's 1533-position model. The record is from RNAcentral.
GGACAGUGGCGAAAGGGUGAGUAACACGUGAGUAUCUGCCUCCGGGUCGGGGACAGCCCGCGGAAACGCGGAUUAAUACCCGACGAACCCCACGGGGUAAAGAGGAAUCGCCCGGAGAUGAGCUCGCGGNCCAUCAGCUAGUUGGCGGGGUAACGGCCCACCAAGGCUACGACGGGUAGGUGGUCUGAGAGGAUGGUCACCCACACUGGGACUGAGACACUGCCCAGACUCCUACGGGAGGCUGCAGUCGAGAAUCAUCCGCAAUGGGCGAAAGCCUGACGGUGCAAUGCCGCGUGGGGGAUGAAGGCCUUCGGGUCGUAAACCCCUGUCAGAAGGGACGAAGCAAGUGACGGUACCUUCAGAGGAAGCCACGGCUAACUACGUGCCAGCAGCCGCGGUAAUACGUAGGUGGCGAGCGUUAUUCGGAUUUACUGGGCGUAAAGGGUCCGCAGGGGGUUUGCCAAGUCCGGUGUGAAAGUCCAGGGCUCAACCCUGGAACUGCGCCGGAUACUGGUGAACUUGAGUGCGCGAAGGGCAGGCGGAAUUCCUGGUGUAGCGGUGGAAUGCGUAGAUAUCAGGAAGAACACCGACGGCGAAAGCGGCCUGCUGGCGCGCCACUGACCCUCAUGGACGAAAGCGUGGGUAGCAAACAGGAUUAGAUACCCUGGUAGUCCACGCUGUAAACGGUGCAGACCCGAUGCGGGGGGCAGCCCCCUCCGUGUCCAAGCCAACGCGUUAAGUCUGCCGCCUGGGGACUACGGUCGCAAGGCUAAAACUCAAAGGGAAUUGACGGGGGCCCGCACAAGCGGUGGAGCAUGUGGCUUAAUUCGAGGCAACGCGAAGAACCUUACCCGGGCUUGACAUAUUCCGGCCCGCCUGUGAAAGCAGGCUUUCCCUUCGGGGACCGGAUUACAGGUGCUGCAUGGCUGUCGUCAGCUCGUGCCGUGAGGUGUUCGGUUAAGUCCGGCAACGAGCGCAACCCGUAUUGUCAGUUGCCAUCAGGUUAUGCUGGGCACUCUGGCGAGACUGCCCGUGUCAAGCGGGAGGA